This 595-nucleotide ribosomal RNA is filed under the name uncultured bacterium. Its description in RNAcentral is "bacterial SSU rRNA". It matches the Rfam family "Bacterial small subunit ribosomal RNA", at positions 116 to 716 of the family's 1533-position model. The record is from RNAcentral.
CGUGGGUAACCUACCCCGGGGACCGGGAUAGCCACUCUAACGAGUGGGUAAUACCGGGCGAUCUGACGGCGUCGCAUGGCGCUUUCAGGAAAUGAGUUUCGCCUCGGGAGGGGCUCACGUGCUAUUAGCUAGACGGCGGGGUAACGGCCCACCGUGGCAAAGAUGGCUAGCGGGUGUGAGAGCACGACCCGCGCCACUGGCACUGAGACACUGGCCAGACACCUACGGGUGGCUGCAGUCGAGGAUCUUCGGCAAUGGGCGCAAGCCUGACCGAGCGACGCCGCGUGCGCGAUGAAGGCCUUCGGGUUGUAAAGCGCUGUCGAGGGGGAGGAAGACCCGCAAGGGUUUGACCUAUCCCUGGAGGAAGGACGGGCUAAGUUCGUGCCAGCAGCCGCGGUAAGACGAACCGUCCUAACGUUGUUCGGAUUCACUGGGCUUAAAGGGCGCGUAGGCGGGCUGCCAAGUCCGGGGUGAAAUCUUUCGGCCCAACCGGAAAAGUGCCUUGGAAACUGGCAGCCUCGAGGGGGGUAGGGGCCCGCGGAACUUCGGGUGGAGCGGUGAAAUGCGUUGAUAUCCGAAAGGAACGCCCGGUGGC